Molecule: long non-coding RNA, 837 nt
Filed under: Calidris pygmaea (Spoon-billed sandpiper)
Lineage: Eukaryota; Metazoa; Chordata; Aves; Charadriiformes; Scolopacidae
Description: lncRNA (ENSCPGG00000002972.1)
Source: RNAcentral
GGGGAAAUCUCAGUUAGCAAUCAGAAAUUCCCUGCUAAUUGAAUGUCUGAUUUUAUUAAUGAUGAAAUUUAUAAAGGUCCUUAAGAAAAGAAAAGAAUUUAGCCAGUUCAGCAGUUAAGUGUGAAUAUUAACUAACUCUGAGAUAAAAGUUAAAAUAUCCAUUUUCUUUUCUUUUCUCUAGUUCUUUAAAUAAAAAGCUCUCUUUGACAUUUCAUCCCAUUAGAGCUUUAGCUUCCUUUGCCAUCCAUUGCUAAAUGGCUGGAGACUGUGCAGAGAAUGUAAUGUCCUGGAUGGUUUAAGAAAUGCUGACCUUAGAGGGCAGGAAGUUAAUACAUGGAUCAUCAUAGUGCUUAUUUUCCUUGAUGCUUGCUCUCUGAUGAUGCUUUGGCUGGGCUUUUUUGGUGGCCUGCGUCUCCAUUGGUGCACCUUGACUGCCCCGCUGAGAAGCUUUGGUGAGGACUUACACCUCCACUACAGAGCACCAUGGCAGAUCUUUUUUUUCCUUUAAAUGAAAAGUAUGAAGUUUCCACAGGAAGCAGGAACAUUCUCCAAAAUUGUAAUUAUGUCAAAGAGAACACAUUUGGAUUAAAACUCCUUAGGAGGUGGAUCUUUCACACAAGUGUUGGAUAACUCGACAUGACUGUCAGAUUAGAACCAGCAUUGGUACUGCAGCCAUUUCAGAAGUGACACAGUGUGGAAAAAACGGUACCUGGGAGCAUGUUCAGCUUACACCCAUGGCAUACUGGUAAGAGCCACUGUUGGCAUCUCGUUUUCAUAGGCACCAUAUUUGAGAAUUUCUGCAUUUGUUUUUAUGCAACUCACUUAACUCUCUGCCAA